Armigeres subalbatus is the source of this 576-nucleotide long non-coding RNA. RefSeq lists it as uncharacterized. NCBI's taxonomy places the organism in Eukaryota, Metazoa, Arthropoda, Insecta, Diptera, Culicidae. The record is from RefSeq and is a predicted model, not a curated record. The transcript has 2 exons.
GCAACACACAUUUUAUUUCACAUGCACUCAUGGAUGUUUUCCAUGUUAAUAAUAUAAAUUUUUGACCAUUAUUUUAUUAAGUCUAACUCAAAGUGCCUCCACGAAAACUUUUGCUCUCACCCCUCUCUCUUCCUGCUAGUGUCACAAUAAUAACAAAGCAGUUUGUUUUUUCAUCUGGUGGUGCAUCAUAAAUUAAGUGCGCUUAAAUCACAGAAUCAGUGCUGGAAUUUAAUAUUAAUUGAAGUUUCCGGAUAAUCGCAUCAUGAUGCCUCGUAUGCGACAACAGGAGAAAAUUCAUUCAGAUGCAGAAAUCCCAAGCAACGCUCAUAUUUUUCUCCAAGUCCUAUUGUUGCGGUCUUGUUUUCAGAGCAGUUCGGUGUCGGAAGUCGGAGAAAAUUACCGAGAAACCGGGAGAUAAAUAGCCCACAUAUUUCAACAUUAGUAACCGGAGGAAACGGCCAUAUCAGCAUGCUAAUAUACGCGGUCCGACAAGUGGCCCGGAAGAGGCCACCUUUACAAUAUUAUUUCGAGAGUUACCUUAAGCUUCAAACAAUCAAAUAAAACUAAAAAAAAUAA